GCCAGGUGUUUUGGUGCAUGCCUGUAAUCCCAGCAUCUUGGGAGGCUGAGGCAGGGGGAUCGUGAGUUCAAGGUCAGUCUCAGCAACUUAGUGGGGCCCUGAGCAACUCAGUGAGACCCUGUCUCUA
RNAcentral lists this small RNA (127 nucleotides) under Marmota monax (woodchuck). The record is from RNAcentral. Lineage: Eukaryota; Metazoa; Chordata; Mammalia; Rodentia; Sciuridae.